UCCUUUGGCACUUAGACCUGUAGGCCAGGA
RNAcentral lists this non-coding RNA (30 nucleotides) under Rattus norvegicus (Norway rat). The record is from RNAcentral. Lineage: Eukaryota; Metazoa; Chordata; Mammalia; Rodentia; Muridae.